GGCACCUCACGUCCUUCACUAUGACCAACUCACAACACGUCUCAGAUCCAACCUCCCGAACACGAGAUGCCUAAAAUCUGUGCUAACAUGAAAGACUUUUCAUGUAUUUUUUUUGUUUUUAUCUGAGAUUCAAACUCUUCUUCCUGUGUAAUAUGCAAAGUAUCUAAUAGGUAUUAUUAAUGUUUUCGGAGUCAUUGUGACUAAUAAACCAUUAGAAUUUUU
RNAcentral lists this long non-coding RNA (222 nucleotides) under Homo sapiens (human). RNAcentral describes it as "HSALNT0262347". The record is from RNAcentral. Lineage: Eukaryota; Metazoa; Chordata; Mammalia; Primates; Hominidae.